UUUAAACUGGUUUGGAAAACCAAAUAUAUUAUAUAUUUUGCUUUGUUCAAAAUAAGGUUUUCUAAUAAAUUAUGUUUUUAUCAGAUAUGACAGAAUCUUUUUUAAAAUCUCUUCAAUAUGCUUUUAUUGCUUUUGAGAGGUUUUGUUACUUUGAGUAAAAUUAAGUGUUCAUAACAGACGGGUAGUCAUGAUUGAGUUCAUUGUGUA
RNAcentral lists this ribosomal RNA (207 nucleotides) under Plasmodium falciparum (malaria parasite P. falciparum). RNAcentral describes it as "partial 18S ribosomal RNA". The record is from RNAcentral. Lineage: Eukaryota; Apicomplexa; Aconoidasida; Haemosporida; Plasmodiidae.